RNAcentral lists this ribosomal RNA (1401 nucleotides) under Kocuria rosea. RNAcentral describes it as "bacterial SSU rRNA". It matches the Rfam family "Bacterial small subunit ribosomal RNA". The record is from RNAcentral. Lineage: Bacteria; Bacillati; Actinomycetota; Actinomycetes; Micrococcales; Micrococcaceae.
CGAUGAUGCCCAGCUUGCUGGGCGGAUUAGUGGCGAACGGGUGAGUAAUACGUGAGUAACCUGCCCUUGACUCUGGGAUAAGCCUGGGAAACUGGGUCUAAUACUGGAUACUACCUCUUGCCGCAUGGUGGGUGGUGGAAAGGGUUUUACUGGUUUUGGAUGGGCUCACGGCCUAUCAGCUUGUUGGUGGGGUAAUGGCUCACCAAGGCGACGACGGGUAGCCGGCCUGAGAGGGUGACCGGCCACACUGGGACUGAGACACGGCCCAGACUCCUACGGGAGGCAGCAGUGGGGAAUAUUGCACAAUGGGCGGAAGCCUGAUGCAGCGACGCCGCGUGAGGGAUGACGGCCUUCGGGUUGUAAACCUCUUUCAGUAGGGAAGAAGCGAGAGUGACGGUACCUGCAGAAGAAGCGCCGGCUAACUACGUGCCAGCAGCCGCGGUAAUACGUAGGGCGCAAGCGUUGUCCGGAAUUAUUGGGCGUAAAGAGCUCGUAGGCGGUUUGUCGCGUCUGCUGUGAAAGCCCGGGGCUCAACCCCGGGUCUGCAGUGGGUACGGGCAGACUAGAGUGCAGUAGGGGAGACUGGAAUUCCUGGUGUAGCGGUGAAAUGCGCAGAUAUCAGGAGGAACACCGAUGGCGAAGGCAGGUCUCUGGGCUGUUACUGACGCUGAGGAGCGAAAGCAUGGGGAGCGAACAGGAUUAGAUACCCUGGUAGUCCAUGCCGUAAACGUUGGGCACUAGGUGUGGGGGACAUUCCACGUUUUCCGCGCCGUAGCUAACGCAUUAAGUGCCCCGCCUGGGGAGUACGGCCGCAAGGCUAAAACUCAAAGGAAUUGACGGGGGCCCGCACAAGCGGCGGAGCAUGCGGAUUAAUUCGAUGCAACGCGAAGAACCUUACCAAGGCUUGACAUUCACCGGACCGCCCCAGAGAUGGGGUUUCCCUUCGGGGCUGGUGGACAGGUGGUGCAUGGUUGUCGUCAGCUCGUGUCGUGAGAUGUUGGGUUAAGUCCCGCAACGAGCGCAACCCUCGUUCUAUGUUGCCAGCACGUGAUGGUGGGGACUCAUAGGAGACUGCCGGGGUCAACUCGGAGGAAGGUGGGGAUGACGUCAAAUCAUCAUGCCCCUUAUGUCUUGGGCUUCACGCAUGCUACAAUGGCCGGUACAAAGGGUUGCGAUACUGUGAGGUGGAGCUAAUCCCAAAAAGCCGGUCUCAGUUCGGAUUGAGGUCUGCAACUCGACCUCAUGAAGUCGGAGUCGCUAGUAAUCGCAGAUCAGCAACGCUGCGGUGAAUACGUUCCCGGGCCUUGUACACACCGCCCGUCAAGUCACGAAAGUUGGUAACACCCGAAGCCGGUGGCCUAACCCCUUGUGGGAGGGAGCCGUCGAAGGUGGGACUGGCGA